ACCCAGUGGCCUUAUCCGGUCUUGAUUAAUUCAUAAAAAAAACGUAAGGUUGUUUUAUAUAUAUAAAACAACCUUACGUUUUUUUUAUAAUAUAAUUUUCUUUUUUUUUAUAUAAUAUCAUUUUCCUCAAAAGGUUUCGAUUAGAAAAGGAUGACAGGUGCAUCAUAUUGGAGGUAAUGUUUACUUACUGCUAAAAAAAUUUCUGGCUAUAUUAGCCAAUAAACAUGGCACAACACCUCCCUUUAUCCUUGCACUAUUGGACUUAUUGUUGCCAUUUGUACAGGCAAUAGUGUAGUCAGUGUGUUGUCUUUACUAUGCUUGAUUUUGCCUGACCUGUAUUUUACAGUUACCAACAUGUGUGCUUUCUGUAAUCCUAAAUGAAGUGGUACUACAGGAAGGAGAUAAGGCAUACUUAAGAUUGGCUCUUGUGUGUCCACUGACUCCUUCAGGAGACGGGCACAUUUUCAGUGGCUUGACAGUAAGUGUUUAAAUAAAGGGUGCUGUGGUAUACAAUACUUGAGUACCUCACGUGUGUUUUCACUAACCUUAUGGAAAUGUUCACUUUUGAUUGAUAAUUUGUUUUUCACAGGUGUCGCUACAUGGAGCAGGUUUUCUGAGUCCUAAAGAAAAUAAUUCUACACCAUGUACUCCGUGGACACCUGUCGUGAAUGUGGAAUGCUUUUCAAAAACUGCACACCUGGUAAACAUCUUAACACUGGAUGGAUUUGAAUCUAUGUCAUUAUACUCAGUAUUGAUGUCAUAACUACGCUUAGACCACAUCCUGAGUCUAGUGGUCACUGGUCAGUAUAAUCAUCAUUCUGUUUUUUCUUUUUCUUUUACAGGAUAUGUUAGAACAGGACAAAGGUGUGUACUUGAAGCAGUUUACUCAGAAGACCCACAUCCAGGUUACUGCGAUCACUUUUGCCGCCAAAUGCAAUAGUGAGAACGGACACGUAUACUAACUGUUGGCAGACAACCCUGAGCCAGCUGGGUGUUUUUCAAGCUGCAGGCCCCCGUGAAAAUUUGUGGCUGGAAACUUGGGAUUGAAUUUUGAAUUCUCCAGUGUUAUUACAGACUGUUAAUUAAUUGGUUAUGACAAAAAAGAGAUGUCAUAUGUUUAAACAACCUUUGGGUGAACUUUUUGUAUAAUUUAAAAAAUGUUAAAACUAACAUCUAUUGAGAGUUUACUUUAUGCUUUUUUGGUUUUAAUAACAUCCUGUUCAAUGUGGAAUAAAAUUCAAAUCCUCUGAAUAUUGAGUCCAUUUCUGAACACUGGGGAGAUCGUGUGUACAACUGGUGAUCCGGUUUAUUGAAUGCAUUGCACCAAUAUGAUUUCUACCCAGUGCUGUACAUUUAUCAUUUGUUAAUAUUAUAAUACAGACAGUCUGACAUUUCCAUACCCACAGGAUUAAAGGGCCUACAUCUACGUACAGAUACUGAUCAGCAUAAAGUCCUUUGGAAUCACAUGUAAACUGCAGUAGAGGAUUUUUCUUUCAGUGCUUCGACCCAGAGAGAGCCUUCUAGUCCUCUUGUGACCAGCCCACUAUGUGAUAGUACUGUCACAUAGUACAUAACUUACAUCCACUUAUUAAGACCAAGAAUAAUUAGAUUGUUGAAUUGUUACAUUGUCGUGUG
Long non-coding RNA from Esox lucius (northern pike), 1635 nucleotides. The record is from Ensembl. NCBI's taxonomy places the organism in Eukaryota, Metazoa, Chordata, Actinopteri, Esociformes, Esocidae.